ACACGUGAAACCCGGUGGGAAUAUGGGGGGACCAUCCUCCAAGCCUAAAUACUACUCGGUGACCGAUAGUGAAGAAGUACUGUGAAGGAAAGGUGAAAAGUACCCCUGACGGGGAGUGAAAAAGAACCUGAAACCUUGUGUUUACAAGCACCGAAAGCUCAUCAAAGAGCGAUCGGGUACCUUUUGUAGAAUGGUCCGGCGAGUGAAUGUAACCGGCGAGGUUAAGCACUUAAGGUGUGAAGCCGCAGCGAGAGCAAGUCUGAAUAGGGCGUAUGAAGUCGGUUGUAUUCGACCCGAAACCGGGUGACCUACCCAUGGUCAGGUUGAAGUAAAGGUAAAACUUUAUGGAGGACCGAACCGACUCCCGUUGAAAUGGUAGCGGAUGAACUGUGGGUAGCGGAGAAAUUCCAAUCGAACCCGGAGAUAGCUGGUUCUCCCCGAAAUAGUUUUAGGACUAGCCUCAAGUUAGAUACCUGGAGGUAAAGCACUGAAUAGCCUAGCGGCCGAGAGGUUAGCGAAGCUUAUCAAACUCAGAAUGCCAGAGUAUUGAUGCUUGGGAGUCAGACAGUGUCAGAUAAAUGUCAUUGUCAAAAGGGAAACAGCCCAGAUCUACAGCUAAGGUCCCAAAGUCAGGUUAAGUGGAAAACGAUGUGAAGAUACGCAGACAACCAGGAUGUUGGCUCAGAAGCAGCCACUCAUUCAAAGAGUGCGUAAUAGCUCACUGGUCGAGCGUCUUUGCGCGGAGAAUUUAACGGGGCUAAACCUGACACCGAAGCUUAGGCAAUACAGCAAUGUAUUGGGUAGGGGAGCGUUGUAUACGCGGUGAAACAGUAGCGCAAGCGGCUGUGGAGUGUAUAGAAGUGAGAAUGCCGGAAUGAGUAGCGCGAAUGCAGUGAGAAUCUGCAUGGCCGAAAGCCUCAGGUUUCUGGAGGAAGGUUCGUCCGCUCCAGGUUAGUCGGGAGCUAAGGUGAGGCCUAACGGCGUAGCCGAUGCACAGACGGUAGAGAUUCCGUCACCACCAAAAGAGUUAAACACAGGGACACAUUUGAAGUCUCGGAGCCGGGUGUUGGUUCCGGUAGCGAUCGAGGGAAGUUAGUACCGAAGUCCGGGAUGGAAGAUGGCGAGAAAAGCUGUGUGUAUUUCUGCGGUGCCCGUACCGCAAACCGACACAGGUAGGUAGGAAGAAGAUUCUAAGGCCAACGGGAGAAGGGUUGUUAAGGAACUCGGCAAAUUGACCCCGUAACUUCGGGAGAAGGGGUGCUCCAGAGAUGGAGCCGCAGAGAAUCGGCCCAAGCAACUGUUUACCAAAAACACAGGUUUGUGCUAAAUCGAAAGAUGACGUAUACGAGCUGACGCCUGCCCGGUGCUGGAAGGUUAAGAGGAGAUGUGCAAGCAUUGAAUCGAAGCCCCAGUGAACGGCGGCCGUAACUAUAACGGUCCUAAGGUAGCGAAAUUCCUUGUCAGGUAAGUUCUGACCCGCACGAAAGGCGUAAUGAUUUGGGCACUGUCUCAACAGCCCGCCCGGCGAAAUUGUAGUACCGGUGAAGAUGCCGGUUACCCGCGACAAGACGGAAAGACCCCAUGGAGCUUUACUGUAGCCUAAUAUUGGGUUUCGAUGUUGCAUGCACAGGAUAGAUGGGACACAGGGAAACAAGUGCUUUGGCAUUUGUGGAGUGGCCGUUGGGAUACCAUCCUUGCGAUAUUGGAAUUCUAACCUGCGCCUUUGAAUCAAGGCGGGGGACAUUGUUAGGUGGGCAGUUUGACUGGGGCGGUCGCCUCCUAAAGAGUAACGGAGGCGCUCAAAGGUUCGCUCUGCAUGGAUGGAAACCAUGCGUCAGAGUGUAAACGCAAAAGCGAGCCUAACUGCGAGAAUGACGGUUCGAGCAGUAACGAAAGUUGGAGUUAGUGAUCCGGCGGUAUGUGAAUGGAAAUGC
RNAcentral lists this ribosomal RNA (1934 nucleotides) under human gut metagenome. RNAcentral describes it as "bacterial LSU rRNA". It matches the Rfam family "Bacterial large subunit ribosomal RNA", at positions 422 to 2442 of the family's 2925-position model. The record is from RNAcentral.